This is a non-coding RNA of Strongylocentrotus purpuratus (purple sea urchin), 60 nucleotides long. Lineage: Eukaryota; Metazoa; Echinodermata; Echinoidea; Camarodonta; Strongylocentrotidae. The record is from Rfam.
AUAGCUUAGUCGGAAGAGCACCGGUCUAUCAAUCCGUAGGUCUCGGGUUCGAAUCCCGUU